GCUAGGGCGGCGAUGGAGCUGUCCCCGCGGUUCGCUGUGGAUUGGAGGACGGGGUGAGCACCGGCGUGCAAUUGCCGGUUUCUCGGCCAUGGUUCACACCCGACGAGGCCCAAUUCCCGUGCAGUGGAGACCCGCGAUGUGUCAUUACUGCACCGAAGCGCGCACGAGAGUACACCGACGAGCCACCACGACGUAGGCGUAGCCCAGACCGUGCAACAACGUCGCAGCGGGCACCGGCCUUGAUGGCCCAACUUCCAGUGUUCGGCAGCAAUGAGGAUAUCACGAGAUUAAGGCUGCGACGGCGAGGAAGGUAGACGCGAAAUGAUUGCAGCACCAUCGAGCUUUCUCUCUUUGUCAUGGCGAUAGAACUUUCGUGUUGGCUCGGUGGCUUCUCAACCUCGCGCGAUUCCUUGAAAACUAUCAGGGGGCCGGUGGGCAGAGCUAUCGAUAUAUAUAUAUAUAUAUAUAUAUGUCGAAACCUGAUAGCUGCAUGGCUGCGUGCAGUCUGUUGCAACAACCCCGAUGAAUCGGCCGGAUAUCCCGUGGUUGCGCAACGAAUUUUGACCCGCUAUUUGCACGGAGUUGGCUUCGAUCAUGGAAAAGCUUUUGUGUCCGUUACGAACGACGGAGGGAUACGAGUUGCUGAUGUCGUAGUGACACAAUAUACGACUUGAAUAAUAAAGAAAAAAAAAUACACAUGUGAAGAGGACGAGGACGACGUUGGCUGAAAAGGCCAUCCGCUUCACGACCGAGGUGAGGCUUUACCUUUUUUUCCCUUGUUUUGUUUGUUUUCUUUUGUUUCUCUAUUUUCUGUUUUUAUAUUUUAAUGCCAAAUUUAAAUAUGGGUUGGGAUUUCGGUUAUAAUUUAAGUGCACAAACAAACAUCGGCAUGAUGCAAAGCAAUUUUUUUAUUUACUUAUUUAUUUAGAUAAAUACUUCUAGAUGUACCAUUAAUGAAAGGAAUAUUCACUCAAACAAAUAAAUAGAUAAUCUUUGUUUUUGUUUUGCAUUUUUUUAAUAUGGAUUACUAUAUAAAAUUCAAAUCCGAAUCAAAAUUUAAUAUUACCAUUUAUCUAUUUUAAGAAAACGAAUUUAAAAAAAAUAAGGAAAUCCUUAUUAAGAAUACAUUUUUAUUUGGAUUGUUUGGAGAAUAUUACUAAACCAAAAAUAGGAUUUUUUGUGUGUUACAAAUUCUACCCCCCUUAAAAAUAAUCUCGUCCUCGAGAUUAGUAAGAAAAGGGAUGCAACAAGUUUGGUUUGUGGUUUUAGCUCUUAGUUUCUAAUUAUUCUCAAGAACCAAAGUUUUUUUUAAGUUUCUAAUUAUGGUAAGCAAGUGGCUAGAAAAUCAUGGGCAUAAUGUAUAUUUGCUAAUGGGUAAGAUUAGAGAAGGGUAGGAUGAGAGAAGAUUAGGUAAGGAGAAUUCCUAUCCUGGGUGGUGACUCUUGACUUGUCCGAAGAUGUUCUUUGUCGUCUAUCCUUCCUUGAUGAUGAUGUUGUCUUCCUUUUUGGGUCUUGAUGUUUCCAUCAAAGUUAUGGACACCUAGUUUAAAUAGUUGUGAGUAUGAUAGACUACAUUAAGUAGGUCUAGAUCUUGUUUGAUGUUGGUUUGGAAUGGAUUUUUAUCAUCAGCAGGUUGGUUAGAUCGUUUGUUCUUGGACGAGUUGGUCUAUGACACCAAUUUAGGUGAAAACAUGUUUAUAGGAGCAGGGUCCAAUCUAUUUCACCAGUAUUAACUAACGUGUUUAAGUAACCCACAUUAGAUUUGAUUAUAUUAGAUUAGAUAUGAUCUAGAUUAGAUUGGUAUGGCUAGUUUGGACUAGAUAAGAUCUAAUUAAUUUAGUUUAGAUCCUGGUUUUUACUCUAGGAUGGGAUAAGCAAAUAGGUUAGAAUAAGAUAAGAUAGAGUCUUUCAAGAUAAGAUGGAGUUAUUAAGAUAGUUUUCUAUUAUUAUUUUUCUUUAUGGGGAUUAAUCUAAGUUGAUUAGUUAUUUUCGAAUACCGGUUUUGAUGCCUAUAUGUAUAUGUAGAUGCAAUUAAGGACAUUAAUCCACAACUCACCACACUCAAUCGAAGAAUCAAAUCAGACAAGUAUCAUAAGAACAAACAUUCAAGCAUACCAAUAUCUACAAAAAUAGUUUUGCUUUUGUUCCUAAGAUUAGGUCUCCUAUUCCUAAAGGUCACUUUAGGUACAGGAUUUCAAAGUGUGAAAUCCAAGUUUGUCUUUAGAAGGAAAAAGGUAAGAAUAAUCAGAGUAAAGCGGAAAUAGAUGAGAAAGGAUUAAGAAAAGUUCAGAAAGAAUCAGAAUAUCAAAGGUAAGUAGAUAAUGGUUGUCCAGUUCUAUCUAGGUUUCGUCCUACACUCAACAUUCCUCUGAUACCACUUCUGUCACACCCGGAUUUCAGGGGUCCAAAGCCCGGGCGCGAACAUAAUCACCAGGUGUGCUGGGACCAAGUCUCACACAUAUGAUGAAUCAUGGCACAGGAUCGAAUGUCACAUCUUUACUACAUAACAGGAAUUCUAUACAAAAUAAAUAAUUACAUUAUAAGGAGACAACGGUCCAGCAACCCAAAGUUGACUGGGAGACGACGACCUAGACCUCUCACGAACACAUCGCAGCAUCCUCCAAGCGCCUCAUCCUGCGGUACCUGUUCUUGACCUGUGGGGGUGUGAGACAGCAAGAGUGAGCUCACAUACGUUCAUCGCUCAACAAGUUGUGGGGAAUAAUGUGUAUGAACUCGCCAAAGGUGGGAGCUCAUGUGAAGUGUCAGGCUUACCAAAGAGGAUGGCUGAAGCUGAGCAUUGCUUUUAAAGUUGGUCAAAAUUUUAUUAGCCAUUACUAAGUAUAAGUAAAUACCAACCCAAUUAAAUAGUAGAACAGAAGUAACAACAUCACCUGCGAUGCAAUGCAUAUGACAAAUUGAAUUUAAGUUCCAUAGAUUAAUCAUGUGAGUGUCCGAGCUGCUCAUGACCGUGAGCACGGCUAGUAUACCAGUUUUACACUCUGCAGAGGUUGCGCAUCUUUACCCACAAGUCAUGUUACCCAUCUGCCAAGGGAUCGCGACUUCCCAUACACCUCUACCGAGGAGGCGAGGCAGGGUAACACUACGAGGCCUUUACAAAGUUCCACUAGCUUCAGAAAACCCGCUACAGUUUAUAGGAAGCUCCAAUGCAGGAAUCCCUUGCAGGACCGCCAUCGCAGCAAAAUCCUCCCGAGGGCCUCCCUACACUGACCACUCCCCUACUGCCCUUGCCCCUUUCGGGUAAGGUAGUCUUCCACUAGCUUUCCUAAUUAAUCGGCCAAGGGCGUCCCAUUAAACCCUUGUGGUAGCACUGUUUUCCCGGGUGGUUCUCCAUGUUCCAAUUAACAUAAUGAUCUUAUCAUGAACAGUAAAUAGCAACUGAUAACAAAAGUAUGAAUAAUAUGUAUCUCAAUGCCCAAAUCCACAUAUGGCACUAGCAAGUACUACCCAGAAAGUUUAGUGGUAAACAAGGCAUAAAGAUAGACAAACUAGGGUAACCUAUUAGGUCCCAUCAAAUUAACCUAUGCAGAUCAUUAUGAUUAAUUAGAACAUGAGUGGGUAAAAGAAGUGAUCAAGGGCACAACUUGCCUGGCACUUGAGAUUUCAGGUACCAACUUGCUCUUUGAUGACACGUAACCUCACGCUAGUCGUAGCAAUAUAAACAAACAUGGUAUAGGCAAAAUUAACAUCACAUCAAACAUAAGCACAAACUGAAUAAUAAUAAUCUACGCGUCGCUACAAGAUCGCGGGAUCGAGAACUACUAAGAUCGGAGUUACCAUUAAGGAGUUAUGAUUUUAUAAAAGAUUUGUGUGAUUAAAAUAUUAAACUAUAUUAUAAUUUGGUUAAUAUAUAUCAUAUGAGGGGUUAUUCUGUAAAUAAUUAUCUCAACUUUAAUCCAAGCUAUAAAUUAACCAUAGAUCAUAUUCUAGUAGAUUAUAAUGACAAGUAGAUUAACAAGACUAACCAACAUAGAUUAAAUAAAGACCUAAUUAUAAAAGAAUGAGACAUAGUAUUAUAAGUGUUGUUAUUGAAUAGUAAAUAUUUAUAGGAGACUGACGCAACUUGAACGGAUCAAAUCGGAGUUUAAAUGGGGAAGUUAUGAAUUUCACAAGGUUUUAUUUUUUUAUAUAAGAUUAAUUAGGAAAUAAAUUUUAUGGUGACAUUCAUGUCAAAAAGAGGCACUACGUGAUAAACAAUAAUAUUACAAAAUUAUAGGAACUGGAAUGGAAUAAUUUGGAGUUCAUAUGAAUUUUAUAUGAAUUAAACAAGUUCUAUUAUUUAUGUUUACAUUAAAAAUUCAUUUCCUAUUUACUCUUCUGGAUUUUUCUAAUUCCCUGGACUGGGCAUCAAAAUCUGUAAAAUACAGGGCCCCGGGGUAAGAUUUUCUAAGACACAGAGCAUCCUAGGUACGGAUGGCGGGUUAAUUCACAAAAAGAGCAGGGGUUCUUAAGAAAAUUCUCUCAGCCGAAGGGGUAUGGGUUAAACUGAGUCGUUGGAUUAGAAAUAUGCGGUACGGAUUAGAUCGGAUAUCCAGCGAAUCGGUACGUGGUCCCAGCCACCUGAUCUAACUUCAACGAUCCAGAUUUAAAUUCUGGGAUGGGAUCCCAUACGUCCGAUCUUGAUCCUACGGACUAGCCUACAUCGCGUGAAUCAGGCAGGCCAGAUCGAAUCCCAACCGCAGAAUAUCAGAUCGACGACCGCGAGUCCUUCUCCGUUGCACGAAAACGAUGGCGCCGGCGCCCGCGGCCACCACGGCGGCACCAUUGCCGCAGCGCCCUGACCUCACGACUCGAGCUACGAUCUUUGAUCCUACCUGUGCUACAUCUAGUGAAGGUUGAAGUGAGUCCAGUGGCAAGAUCUUACCGGCUAGGGCGGCGAUGGAGCUGUCCCCGCGGUUCGCUGUGGAUUGGAGGACGGGGUGAGCACCGGCGUGCAAUUGCCGGUUUCUCGGCCAUGGUUCACACCCGACGAGGCCCAAUUCCCGUGCAGUGGAGACCCGCGAUGUGUCAUUACUGCACCGAAGCGCGCACGAGAGUACACCGACGAGCCACCACGACGUAGGCGUAGCCCAGACCGUGCAACAACGUCGCAGCGGGCACCGGCCUUGAUGGCCCAACUUCCAGUGUUCGGCAGCAAUGAGGAUAUCACGAGAUUAAGGCUGCGACGGCGAGGAAGGUAGACGCGAAAUGAUUGCAGCACCAUCGAGCUUUCUCUCUUUGUCAUGGCGAUAGAACUUUCGUGUUGGCUCGGUGGCUUCUCAACCUCGCGCGAUUCCUU
RNAcentral lists this long non-coding RNA (5296 nucleotides) under Zea mays. Its description in RNAcentral is "long non-coding RNA (ZMAY_LNC003544)". Lineage: Eukaryota; Viridiplantae; Streptophyta; Magnoliopsida; Poales; Poaceae. The record is from RNAcentral.